GACGAACGCUGGCGGUGUGCUUAACACAUGCAAGUCGAACGGUAAGGCCCUUUCGGGGGUACACGAGUGGCGAACGGGUGAGUAACACGUGAGUAACCUGCCCUCAUCUCUGGGAUAACAGUCGGAAACGGUUGCUAAUACUGGAUAUGAGCUUGCAAGGCAUCUUGUGGGUUGGAAAGAUUUUUUUUGGUUGGGGAUGGACUCGCGGCCUAUCAGCUUGUUGGUGAGGUAGUGGCUCACCAAGGCUUCGACGGGUAGCCGGCCUGAGAGGGCGACCGGCCACAUUGGGACUGAGAUACGGCCCAAACUCCUACGGGAGGCAGCAGUGGGGAAUAUUGCACAAUGGACGGAAGUCUGAUGCAGCAACGCCGCGUGCGGGGUGACGGCCUUCGGGUUGUAAACCGCUUUCAAUUGUGACGAAGCUUUUUUGUGACGGUAGCAGUAGAAGAAGCACCGGCUAACUACGUG
Molecule: ribosomal RNA, 468 nt
Filed under: uncultured bacterium
Lineage: Bacteria
Description: partial 16S ribosomal RNA
Rfam family: Bacterial small subunit ribosomal RNA
Source: RNAcentral